GGGCGGGUAGCUCAGUUGGUUAGAGCGCUUCCCUUACAAGGAAGAAGUCGUAGGUUCGAGUCCUAUUCCGCCCA
Molecule: transfer RNA, 74 nt
Filed under: Chloroflexota bacterium
Lineage: Bacteria; Bacillati; Chloroflexota
Also listed under: 1 other name
Description: Chloroflexi bacterium tRNA-Val
Rfam family: tRNA
About the family: Transfer RNA (tRNA) molecules are approximately 80 nucleotides in length. Their secondary structure includes four short double-helical elements and three loops (D, anti-codon, and T loops). Further hydrogen bonds mediate the characteristic L-shaped molecular structure. tRNAs have two regions of fundamental functional importance: the anti-codon, which is responsible for specific mRNA codon recognition, and the 3' end, to which the tRNAs corresponding amino acid is attached (by aminoacyl-tRNA synthetases). tRNAs cope with the degeneracy of the genetic code in two manners: having more than one tRNA (with a specific anti-codon) for a particular amino acid; and 'wobble' base-pairing, i.e. permitting non-standard base-pairing at the 3rd anti-codon position.
Source: RNAcentral